GCAGGGGCACAUGCAAUAUCGUAAGCUAGCCUGGUGUCCCUAUAAAGAUCCUCGUGAGUGUUGACAGUAGUGGAAGGCUGAGAAUGGUCAUCCAGUCGCAUCUGUUGGUCAUCUUAGGAUAAGUCUAAAGUCGUGAAUCCAGUUAAUCACACUAAGAAUCCAGUGAUCACAACAAUAAUGUUGACAUAAGCCAAGCUACAACAGCGCGUGCACGAAAGAGGUACAAAUUUGUUAUUCCUAAAGCCAAAAACAAUGGAUUGCAAAACCCAUAAUGGAGCCAAAGUUCCAUAGAGACCUUAACGAUAUACUAGCUGCAGUUCUUGAGAGAAGGAGCACUACCCACAAGUCACUGAACUUUGAGCUUAAUAUUGCAGCAAUGCUUGGACUACUCAAGGAAACUGUUACAGUAAACUACAAAAGCAGAUUCUGACGCUAGCUAGCUAAAAACUUUUACACUGGCCACUGUGGUCCAUCAACACUUUCUUGAAAUCCAACAUAUUCCUUAGUUUUAUAAAAAAAAAGUGUUCUCUGAUAAACGUCACAACACAUGCUGAUAGCACUCUUCUUACUUCCCUGCUCAUUUUCCUGUGUACCCAGUAUAUAAACUGCUGGGAAGAUGUCAAUCUCAACAAUCUGUAAUGUCAAGUAUUUACAUGACGCAAACGACUUCAGUACGUUCUACCACACUACUAACCUGCAGGUUAGAGGCUUCGUGAUGGAAUUCUGUCUCACUUUAACCAUUUCUACCACCGCUGUGCGCAGCACCCAUCUAUUUAGGCACACAGAAGAAAAAUACUCGUGCUGAGUGAUGCAACUGAAACAAUGCAACAUUUAGUCUAGUUGAUCCAUUUCUUGCCAACAAAGACAUUCUUUACUGGUAGGCUUGAUAGCACACGUUCCACAGCUACACCACUCCGUGUUGCCCACUCUCUCGCCAUCUUCAACUGCAUUUGAUCUUCUUCCGUCGUCACCGUCUACAUUUUUCGUAUUAUCUGCAUCUUCCGUACUCCAAGAAUCAUCAACUACUCUACGCUCAGACUCAAAACGGUAAUGUUCAAUGUCAGCCAUGUCCAAGUCUACAUCUGGCAGCUCCCACGUAUAUUAGCGUUGUACUGUUCGCAUCAUGAACGAAUGGCCUCAUAAUAUAUAACGUCGACAGACUACACAGUUACAACCCCAUAAUUUACAAGCUUCUGCUUGCAAUAGGAGAAGGGUGAGCGCUGUUAAUCAUUGAUAGAUUUAUCACUCACACUAGUGCCUGGCAUCUGAAACUUACACACAAAACCAUGGGAGUUUCCCUUUACUGCAUUUUCUGUGGGCGUGCACUGUCCUAAGGUACAAAAAUUUAUUAUGAAGAAUUAUGCAGACGUCGAGAUUUUUGAAAGAACUGUUUCUUAGAGGCUGCAGUGGCGGAUUUAGAUAGGAGCAUUGAGAACAAGCCCCCUCUUCACAAAUGCUCUCAAUUGCUCAUGCUAUAUUUCUGUGCGCAAUUGGAAGGUUUGGCCUUUGCAGCGAUACUAAACUAGUAAAAAUGGGUAAAGCGUCGUGUUGUAGCUUUCGUGUCUCCACAUCUGGGAUAAAUGCAUAGGUACAGCUGAGACGUAGCAGGCCGUAGGAUGAGAGGGUUCGGGAAGUUCAAACGAAUCCCCCGCACGUUGAGAAAGGUCCGCUUCUUCAAUGAACAUAGUUUCUACUCAGGAAUUGCGCCUACAUCUCAAGCGUAUAGAAUUAGAUUCUCUUAAUAUUACACACCCUCAUCCUACAUGUUCUACUUAAUAACUAGCAUUAUUGUAAUGUUAGUAUUAGUUAUUACAUGGGUAGCUGGUUUUAUGGCAUUUAUUGACCCGAUACCUCACGGGAUUAUCAACGAGAUAAUUGACCGAGCCGGGGGCAGGUUCAAUUAUUGAGGUCAUAGCUAGGCUCUGAGGCCCGAGACGUCCAUAAUGCCAUAAACACCACAUACCCAUAAUAUGUAAUUUAUUGUAUAGGCGUGGAUUUGCAUCACCUUUUAAUGCUGCUGAAUGGGACAGCCCAUGUGAAGCAGCAACACCUGCACUUCUCUUCCACUUUUCAAAUUGUAGCGUUACAUUCUACAUGGGCAACAAUCAAUAAAUAACUUGUUUGUGCUUGUAACCUUGCUGACGUAAUUAGUAGAUUUAAUAGUGUUAUGUGUCUGUCCUAAGUGCGUUGUGUUGUGUGUUGGUAGCUAAUAGCUUGCGAAAGUUUGUAUAAGGGAAAGGUGCUAAUAGACUGGAUGACAUUUAGUGUAUUGUAUUCGAGCCUGAUGUUUACUCUAAAAUUUACCCAGAGUAUAUGCUGUUGCUAUGACAGUGAGUUGAUUAUCUGUAUAUUUUACCUCCACGUGACCUGUGCAAACGCUGCAACUGGCUCAUAUUGCGUACCCAACCACACCCAUACAAUAUGGAGUAUAUGUUUCGAUUGGAUUACCGCUGGGACAAGCAAUAGCGUAAUUUCAUUGAUGCAUGUAUACUCUUGUAUGCCAUAGCAGUGUUACAAAUUGUGAUCAAUAUAAGGCAAUGAUGUCAACAGCAACUUCACGGUACAAGUCUGGGGUAUAAUACAUCGACAUACAUACAUACAUGCAUGCAUGCAUACAUACAUACAUGCGUACGUAUAUACAUCGCAAAUAGCAAAUAGAUAAGGAGCUGCCGUUAAACGGUAAUGCCCUCUGGCGGAUGGCUGGGUUCCUGUGCUCUAAGCAGGAGCUGAUGGCUGUGCUAAGCGAUCUCCUGCAGUGUGGCCAGGUGCUCGCAGGAGCACCGACUGCGACGCCAACUGAGGUGUGUGCACCCGAAAGUCCCACCCGGACAGCAGUGGCUGAUGGACUUUGUCGGAAUCCCAUACAUAAGUACAUACAUACAUACAUUUCAUUUUUGCAUCUAGAAUUACCCGCAACAAACCGAUCCAUUUAAUUGUGGAAUAUGGACUUGUGUGGUAAGUCUGUAUAAACUCGUCUACUAAUUCCAAAAGUAAAUGUAUAUACUUGUUGUUACAGAACAUGCUUUCAGCAGCUGUGGACAAUCCUCGUGUAGCCAGCAACAUCAAUCCCAAUGACAUGAGGACAUGGAUAUUGCAUCGAAUUGUUCUUACAGGGGCCGUUGAAAGAGAGAACAGAAAGAUGAACUAUUUGAAAACGACCAUGAUGAGGAUCCACAUUCUAGUGAUUGCAUUACAGGGACAGAAACAACAAUUCAUCAAGCGAACACCUUACAGCUAAUGACUCUUUAACGGUAUCAACACUGCAAAAAAAUUCAGAUACACACUGUAUCUAUUUGGACAUAUGGUUAUCACUAAUCUGCUUAUGCAAGGUAUCGUUCAAGCCAGGAAAAGUACCCUUUUCUGUUGAAGGCACAACAGAUCCCGACAGAUCAAGUUAUUCUUCGAAGGUUCAUACACUGUGUAUUGUGUUUCUGUGUUCCAUACGUUUUUUGUUGUUGUUAAACAGAAAGUCAAAGAAAGGAAACUGAUAAAACGUGAUUAUAAUAUUAGAUCGUCUGCAAAACGGAAAAGAACAGAAAAUAAACAAUUCGAGUGAUGAAUUGAAUCAACUGAAGUUAUCGAAUGUACUGUUGAUGAAAUAGACGGGACAUUGUAAUACCUGGAACAGAACUGGUAUAUUAGAGCAUUGCUGAAAGCAUGUCCUGUCCGGAGCUCCCGAAAAUCUGGAAGAUCGCUCAGUUUUCACGACAUGGGAAAGAAAUCCAAGAAGCAGAACACCUCCUGGUAGGAGCCAAGUUUCCAAAGGCUAUUCAAACUAAAGUCAAAAUUUUUCUGAAAACUUGGUAUUUCCAAAACGAAGUGCAGCCGUGCAAGAGCCAUGAAAUCGAUGACUUUAUGCAGUGGAUGGGAGAAACAGGGAACUGGAGAUACGAGAACAAAUCCAUGCACGCUAUUUACCACAUACUGACUUAUCAUCAUCGCCGUAGAUGGGUUACUGACGAAUUUGAUAAAAAAAUUGAAUAAAGAAAAAAUAAGUAUUUUAUGCUUAGACGGUUUCAGAUAAGUGAAACGUGCUGUUUUAAAAUUUUUAAAUUAAUUUCAGUUUUAUCUCUAGAUAAGAAAGAAUAGCAAAUAUAUUUACAUC
Molecule: long non-coding RNA, 4105 nt
Organism: Corticium candelabrum
Lineage: Eukaryota; Metazoa; Porifera; Homoscleromorpha; Homosclerophorida; Plakinidae
Exons: 7
Source: RefSeq, a predicted model, not a curated record